RNAcentral lists this ribosomal RNA (452 nucleotides) under uncultured Methylobacterium sp. RNAcentral describes it as "bacterial SSU rRNA". It matches the Rfam family "Bacterial small subunit ribosomal RNA", at positions 9 to 507 of the family's 1533-position model. The record is from RNAcentral. Lineage: Bacteria; Pseudomonadati; Pseudomonadota; Alphaproteobacteria; Hyphomicrobiales; Methylobacteriaceae.
GAGUUUGAUCCUGGCUCAGAGCGAACGCUGGCGGCAGGCUUAACACAUGCAAGUCGAGCGGGCCCUUCGGGGUCAGCGGCAGACGGGUGAGUAACACGUGGGAACGUGCCCUUCGGUUCGGAAUAACUCAGGGAAACUUGAGCUAAUACCGGAUACGCCCUUUUGGGGAAAGGUUUACUGCCGAAGGAUCGGCCCGCGUCUGAUUAGCUAGUUGGUGGGGUAAUGGCCCACCAAGGCGACGAUCAGUAGCUGGUCUGAGAGGAUGAUCGGCCACACUGGGACUGAGACACGGCCCAGACUCCUACGGGAGGCAGCAGUGGGGAAUAUUGGACAAUGGGCGCAAGCCUGAUCCAGCCAUGCCGCGUGAGUGAUGAAGGCCUUAGGGUUGUAAAGCUCUUUCGACGGGGACGAUAAUGACGGUACCCGUAGAAGAAGCCCCGGCUAACUUCGCG